RNAcentral lists this ribosomal RNA (1137 nucleotides) under Triticum aestivum (bread wheat). RNAcentral describes it as "partial small subunit ribosomal RNA". The record is from RNAcentral. Lineage: Eukaryota; Viridiplantae; Streptophyta; Magnoliopsida; Poales; Poaceae.
AUGGUGUUCCCUCCAGCGACUGCAUACCUAGAUCCGCCUAAUUGGAAUAACCAGCAAGGUCAGCAGCAGAGGGCGACGGGCGGUGGCGGAGUAGGCGAUGCACAGCAUAUGCCAGAGGGUCCGACGGCGGGGACGCCCGAGGUCGGUGGGCUGCCGAGAAGCUCAGCGGCCAAUGAAGCCGCAGCCGGGCAGCAGGCGAGGCCAAAUUCCAUGACGGAGCGCGCGCGGAUGGCGCGGGUGCCGCAACCGGAGCCGGCGCUCAAGUGCCCGCGGUGCGACUCCACCAACACCAAGUUCUGCUACUACAACAACUACUCCCUCUCGCAGCCCCGCCACUUCUGCAAGGCAUGCCGCCGCUACUGGACGCGCGGGGGCGCCCUCCGGUCCGUCCCCGUGGGGGGUGGCUGCCGCCGAAACAAGCGCUCGUCCAAGUCAUCCGCCGGCGCCGUGUCCUCCUCCAAGCCAUCUUCUUCUUCAGCCAGGCAGCUGCCAGGUGUCGCGUCAUCUAUGCCAUCAACCGCGGCGUCCACCACCUUGGGGGCCGACGGCGCAUCAAUCCCUCCGGGUCUCAGCUCCAUGUCGCACCACCUGCCGUUCAUGGGCGCGAUGCACCCGCCGGGGGCCAACCUAGGGCUAGCCUUUUCCGCCGGCCUCCCGCAGCUCGCCAUGCAGCAGCACCACCACCACAUGGACGGUGUGGAUCAGUUCCCUCUGGCCAGCGGCGGGGGCGCCACCUUUGGCGCGUCACUGGAGCAGUGGCGGGUGCAGCAGCAGCAGCAGCAGUUCCCGUUCUUGGAACUUCCACCGGCGCCGCCCAUGUACCAACUGGGGCUGCAAGCUAGUCGGGCAGCAGGGAGCAGCGCAGCGGCACCGGCACCGUCGCCGGCGAUGUUCACGUUAGGGCAGUCUAGUGCAAGCAUAGCGAGGCGCGACGAAGGGUCAAUGAAGCAGGCGGACAGCAAAGGGCAAGAGAUGACCUUGCAGAGGCAGUUCAUGAUGGAGGCUCUACGCCAAGGGGAUGGCGUCUGGGGUGGCAACGCCAGCGACAAUAACGGCAAUGGCAGUGGCAGCUGGACCAUGAACAUCCCCGGAUUCCAUUCCUCGUCGGGCGGUGGCGACGGCGGCGGUCUGUUGUAG